This 2468-nucleotide unclassified non-coding RNA is filed under the name Leptinotarsa decemlineata (Colorado potato beetle). Its description in RNAcentral is "uncharacterized LOC111506403, transcript variant X1". Lineage: Eukaryota; Metazoa; Arthropoda; Insecta; Coleoptera; Chrysomelidae. The record is from RNAcentral.
UUAUGUGAUUUAAAAUUAAUAAAAAGAAUCUUCAAAAAAACUUAUGAAUGAAAACUAGUCCAUAAGAAUAGAUGAUACCUGUUUCUUCAAUAAGAAUGUAAUUAACUCUCCUUUUAACAAUAAUUUCCAGAACAUGGAUUGUUGUGGGUUAUGUUUACAAAAAGCGGAAUUAAAUUAUCUUAGUUGCCCAGAAAGCUUGGGAAUCCUAGAAAACUUUCUCCAACAGACGAGCAAAUGGUUUAUGGAAACACUCAUGCUUUGUGAAACAUGCCAAGACAAUGCAGAAUCUGUGAAAACAUUAAUGACAAAUAUUCAGGAAUCAACUGCAAAAAUUCAAGCAGUCAUGAAAGAGUCUGGUCUUGAUACUAUUGAUCUUCAGAGACUUCAUAAGAAUGUUGGUAUAGUCACUGGCAAUAGAUCUGUCUGCAGAUUGUGCCUCAAGGUUUUUGGUAAAGCAAGGAUAUUCCUGUAUGAAAACGGGGUCAAUAUACUAGACCACGAUCUCAUCAAAAGUAUGUUCAACUUUUGUAAUAUAACAUUGGACUUGCAAAUUUCGAAAAAUCCAGUGAUGUGUUUUGAUUGUUGGCAACUUCUUCAAGCUUCCUAUAGCUUCAAAAAGGACUAUCUUGAAACUGAUAGAAAGAUCCGGUUAUACUGCAAGGUCUUCAGAAUUAGAAGGAGAACCUUAGACAACAGCUCUCUGCAUAAAGUUGGUUUAUAUUUCAAUGAAGAAGUCCCUUCUGAUAUGCAGUUGAUCAAUAAUAAUGAAAGUUCCUUAAGUGAACAUAAAAUAGAAGUGAAACAGGAAUUUGACUCUCCUAGUAUAAAUCAUAUCAAACGGGAGUAUCCUCAACGAAUCAAAAGGGAGUAUCCAGGGUCUACAAAUUCAUCAAAAUUAAUAAAAGUACUCUCUAGAAAGCGGCACUUUAGUUCGGAAGAUGACAGGGUAUUAUUGAGAAUUUACUUCGAAAAAGAUAUGGUAGAAAAUUCCUCAUUCGGGGUAUGGAAAGAAUUACAAAAAAAUUUCAAUGAACUCAGAGCCAAUAGACAAUCGAGUGUUAUGUCACUACGGUACAGAAUAGGUGCUCUUUUGAAUCAGUCGCGUCUGAAGGGCCUAUCGAAAGAGGAAAUUGAGAAAAUAAGGCGCAAUGCUAGAAAAAAGUUAAAUUCAAAGAAAAAUAUUAAUGUGGGUCUGAAUCCUCCCAUUCUAGAAGAAAUAUCACCUGCCGCACAGGAAACUCAGAAAAUCGAUAUUGCACGAAAAGGAAAUAAUGAUGUUCCUCAUCUAGAAGUUGAAGGCAGGUAUACACCUUCAACACAAACCAAUGGAAAAAUCACUGAUGUAUCACCGUAUCAGAGUACUCCUACAAUCGACAAAGUUACACCAGGUGAUGACAAAGAAGCGGAAUAUCCAUUCAGAAAGGAUGAUUCUGAUUCGGAUGAUUAUUUUGUAGAUGAAGCUGCCCCAUCAAGUUUCACGCCUAACAUCAAAGCUGAACCUUUGAGCGAUGAUAAUGAGGAAAUAAGGAUAAUUGAACCGAGUAUAGUUGUGAGGAAUAAUGAAUCGAAAGUCCUAUCUGACGAUGAGUUGCCUACGUUAGAAAGGAUGGAUUUGCCCCCAUUGCAAAUCAAAAUUCAAGAUUUUUAUAGUGUGGAUGUGAAAAGGGAAGAAUUAAAUAUGUUGACUAAUGAAGGGGAUCGGGACAAUCCUUUUUUAGUUGUCGAAGAUCUGAAAACUUGUAGGAGGAUAGGUUUAAAAAAUGAAGAAAGCAGUGUGUUCAAGUGUAUGCAAUGCAGUUUCGAAACAAAGCAUAGGUUUUGUGCGGACAGACAUUCUAAAUGGCAUGGAAAAACGAAAAAGAAGCUUUACGAAUGUCAACUCUGUUCAUAUCGAAUAUCGAACAAAAUAGCGUAUGAACGCCAUAUGAGAUUCCAUAAAGAGAAGUCUUCUUUUGAUGAUAUUCCUGUUUUAUAUCCAUUUACCAUGCAAUACUAACUGGACUGUUCACACUGUUCUGAAACUUUCAAGGAUUCUGAAACUAAAAUGAUGUUUUUGAAAAUUUCGCGUUUCGCCAACAUGGGUAAUUGGCAUCUUCAGGCAUUAUUUGCUUCUUUUGAACCGUCCCUGUUUUCCAGAGAUUUGGUAGAAAUUGCAGAAAAAAUAAGCUCCAAAAGAGAGAGAACUCGAAAGAGAAAAAACAAUCUUCAUGCCCCCUUGAAGAGGCCAACUCAUGCCUCCAAAACACUGAGUAUAUCACUGGAAAUAAACGACAAUCCACAAUCCUGAAAAGAAAACAAAUAAAGUGAAUGUGUCAUUCUGUUCUUUUUGUGAUUAUUUUUUCGAUUUAUUUGGAAUAUAUCAGUUUGGGUAUUGUCAAGUGCAGCGUGAUAAUGUUUAUACCCAUAUGUGUAUAUAUACAAAAUUUUGUAUUUUUUUUAUUUCACAAUAAAUUUUUUUAUUUUCAGAA